Molecule: ribosomal RNA, 591 nt
Filed under: uncultured fungus
Lineage: Eukaryota; Fungi
Description: eukaryotic LSU rRNA
Rfam family: Eukaryotic large subunit ribosomal RNA
Source: RNAcentral
AUAUCAAUAAGCGGAGGAAAAGAAACCAACAGGGAUUACCCUAGUAACGGCGAGUGAAGCGGUAACAGCUCAAAUUUGAAAUCUGACCUUCACGGGUUCGAGUUGUAAUUUGUAGAGGAUGUUUCGGAUAAGACUUUGGUUUAAGUUUCUUGGAACAGAACGUCAUAGAGGGUGAGAGUCCCGUCUAGAACCGAUAGUCGCGUCCAUGUGAAACUCCUUCGACGAGUCGAGUUGUUUGGGAAUGCAGCUCAAAAUGGGUGGUAAAUUUCAUCUAAAGCUAAAUAUUGGCCAGAGACCGAUAGCGCACAAGUAGAGUGAUCGAAAGAUGAAAAGCACUUUGAAAAGAGAGUUAAACAGUAUGUGAAAUUGUUGAAAGGGAAGCGCUUGCAACCAGACUUGUGUAUAACGGUUCCCCCAAUCUUCUGACUGGGUUAUUCUGUUAUAUCCAGGCCAGCAUCGGUUCAGGUGGUUGUUUAAAGACUUUAGGAAUGUAUCUACCUUCGGGUCGACUUAUAGCUUAAGGUGUAAUACAGCCUAUCUGGACCGAGGAACGCGCUUUUGCUCGGAUGCUGGCGUAAUGGUCGUAAGCGG